Long non-coding RNA from Acinonyx jubatus (cheetah), 2259 nucleotides. RefSeq lists it as uncharacterized. NCBI's taxonomy places the organism in Eukaryota, Metazoa, Chordata, Mammalia, Carnivora, Felidae. The transcript is spliced from 5 exons. The record is from RefSeq and is a predicted model, not a curated record.
GAACCCUAAAAUACAACUCACUUCGGCCAUCAAAAGGCAGGUAGGGAUGGAGGUAGGAGUGAUUUGGGGGAAGUAGGAGGAGCAGAGAGGAGCAGAGAGGAGUGAGCAGGAGAGGGGAGGAGGGGAAAGGAGUGGGGGGGACCGGGAGGGAGGCGGGGAGACGGACAUUGUGACAGGCAGGGGGCAGCCUCACCUUGAUGGUCACCGAUCCCUCCACCUUUGACAGCUCCCCAAGCAGGGCAGAGAGCAGAGAGGACUUCCCUGCCCCCACUGCACCAACAACCACCAGCAGAUGACCCUGGGGCACAGUGAGGUUUAUCCUGGCAACACAGGAGGGGAGAUAUGUCCCUGGGCAGGGCCCAGCCUGAGUCCGCGUGGAAUUGGUGAACCCCGACAGAGCCAGCCUUUCCUGUUGGCGACUCAGGCAGAGGUCACUGUGGCCCAUCUUCCACCCCGUGGCCAGAAGGACCCGUUAAAACCCGUUCAAAGUGGGAUCAUGAUGCCUCCUCGCUGAAGCCUCCAGCGGUUCCCAUGUCACUCAGGAUAAAAGAAGCAGCAACAGUUCAGACGCUGGAACCUUCUACAGGAGAAUGACAGACCUUGUUAGCCACUACCAGCUUCAGAAUCAGCUAACUCAGCACAAAGCAAGGAUCCCUGACUGGGAAGGAUCUAGGAAAGAGAGAUCAGAGUGACCUCACCAGAAACGUGGACACUUGGAAGGACACCAGAGACACAGAGAAGAGGAGGCUGGAGGUCCUCAAGGCACCCAGCUCCUGGCCCCGGAUGUGCAGGACUCUUUCUAGAAAGGCUCCCUCCCAGCCGUGGGACUUGACCAUCUUCAUGUUCCUGAUGACGCAGCUGGUGAGCCGUGCCCGAGAAUCUUUCUGCCUCAUGUGCUCCUCCUGGUACCAGAGGGAAGAAGAGGGGAAGAGAUCAGGGAAACGUCUAGAAUUCUCCUUCCCCCAAACCAUCACACCCCACCUUCAGCAAAUGCCCUUGAUUCUACAGCAGGUCCCAGGCUGUCUGCCUCUCAGUAUCGCUGUCCCCACAGUCCUGGCCCAAGUCACUGUCAUCUUGUCCCUGGACCCCCACAGGCACCUUCUCCCUCCCGUCCCCCAGCUUCUGCCCUCAUUGUGGGCCAGAAAUGAUGGGAAGCUCCCACAGACCAGGGAGGAGGUGGGAGAGGCGGAACCCUGAACCAGCCUGGGUGUGGUGCCACGGGGAAGGCUUCCUGGAGGUGGGAGUGACCGUGAGCUAUGAUGAGCAGGUGCUGGGUGUGCAAAUGGGUAGGUGAGGUGGACGAAGGAAGGCGGAGGGGACAGCACGACCCAGAGGCAGGCAGCGUGGUCAGAGAGGGUGGGGGGGGGGUGCUACAGGAGGGAGGUGGGCUGCACCACGUUGGGACUUGGGGGUCAGGCAGAGGAGUCGGGGGCCCCUGUGUCCCACUAAGGAGGGGCAUUGUCACAGGGGCAGGUGUGGACAGUGUCUUAGAGGAGGCCAAACAGGAGGCUGGAGAAACAGUCUAUGUGAGACCUUUCUUCCUCCCUCCCUCCCUCCCUCCUCCUGAUUGCCAAGCACUGUUCUAGAAGCUGAGACUGCAUCAGUGCAUAUUCCCUGCUGCCGGGAAGCUUUCAGUCCGAAGAGAGAGAGGAGCCAGGUGCAUCUGGCAAACAGGCAGGCCAAGUUGCCGAACAGCAAUAGCGCCACCAAGUGGCCAAGUGGAGAAGUGCCCAGAAGGCAAACCAGCCCACCGCCAGGAUUGGGAAAAUACUCAAAGAAAGGUGAAAGGAAGGUUAAGCUUUCUCUGGCAAAAAUAGUAUCAUUUGGAGAAAAAUGCUACAGAUGCUAACUGUGGCAACUUCAAUGUCUGCCCACCCCCCCCGCCGGGCCAGGAUUUCAGGGUGACCUUCUGACGUUAGGGACCAUCCACCAAAAGACCAGGAGGGUGAUGGGUGGGUCUUCUGCAGAUUUGCUGGGGUCAGGGGUCUGCCCCUUUAAUGGCUCUGCAUUUUCCCAGGAGUCCUUCAUCCCCCUCCCUCUUCCUAUGUGUGCCCACUGUAUGCUGGGCCCUGGCUACAAGGCGGCCAGUCAGAAAGGGUGCUGGCCCCGUGUCCCGUAGGGUAGGGGAAGUAGGCGUAGAUCUACAGUCACUGUGACGACACCCACUAGAUGGUACUUGGGAACACUCUGUGCUCGCUCACUGUCGCUAUGCCGCUGAUACACCUGCCGGGGGCCUGUGAACUGUGGCACACCUGCCAG